CAGUUCGGUAAAUGUUGUUCUCUGGGGUGGGCAAGCUAGCUUAUUCCCUGGAGAACAGAUCUACAACGAUGGUCAGUCCUCUCCACAGAUCCUGAUGUUUGUUGGCACGCUUGUCAAGAAAUACGCGGAUGGACUGUGCUUGUCUGGAGGCUCACCCUGUAAGUGGUACAUUAAUCCUGAUGUUCCUGAAGCAAGUGCCCUCAUGGCUAGUGCGAGAAAAGCGCAUAGUCCCAUUAAGUGGAACGAGGUUCUAUC
Molecule: long non-coding RNA, 255 nt
Organism: Zea mays
Lineage: Eukaryota; Viridiplantae; Streptophyta; Magnoliopsida; Poales; Poaceae
Exons: 3
Source: RefSeq, a predicted model, not a curated record